Molecule: long non-coding RNA, 462 nt
Organism: Homo sapiens (human)
Lineage: Eukaryota; Metazoa; Chordata; Mammalia; Primates; Hominidae
Exons: 3
Source: RefSeq, a predicted model, not a curated record
GUGCCCACAGGGCUCUGAGUUCAGCACGGACAGCAGAAGGCCUCCUAUCGUGGGAACUGACAGUGACCGGGCCCCUGUUGACUGAAGCCAGAAGAAACAGGGAGCAGAUACCCCAGUAACGUGACAAGCACAUCAAAUGAGGGGAAGGAGUGGGCAGAGAAGCAAUGAGGUCUGCAGUCAUUGUCCCACAUGGAUGUCCAGGAGGAUUUGGGAGGCAAAGUCCAAGUCAAAUGUGUCGAAUGAAACAGAAACAUCUUAGCAAGGAUUUGCUUCCAUCAAGCAUGCAAGCUGCCUGCCAGUCUCGGGACCCAGCCACAUAGCUCUCGUCCAGCCUUGUGUCGUGUGCAUGGGCCCAGCAGGUCUCACUGUGCCCACAGGGCUCUGAGUUCAGGACCGGCAGCAGAAGGCCUCCUAUGGUGGGAGCUGACAGUGGCAGGGCCCCUGUUGACUGAAGCCGGAAGA